AGGCUCGGAGCUCUAGGCCGGCCGGUGGCGGCGGCGAGGCCGGGACUCGGGCUUAGGGCCUGC
Chlorocebus sabaeus (green monkey) is the source of this 63-nucleotide microRNA precursor. The record is from Ensembl. Lineage: Eukaryota; Metazoa; Chordata; Mammalia; Primates; Cercopithecidae.